Molecule: long non-coding RNA, 1335 nt
Organism: Capsicum annuum
Lineage: Eukaryota; Viridiplantae; Streptophyta; Magnoliopsida; Solanales; Solanaceae
Exons: 3
Source: RefSeq, a predicted model, not a curated record
GAGGAGUUGUAUGGGCGGGAUUGUGCAGAAUAGAAGGAGAAAAGAUAGAAUUUUGAGGGCAGAGAGAGGAAGAGAAUCAGCUGGGGAUUGUUUGUAAUGGACUUCAGAGAAGCGGCGUUAGAAAUUAAAAAGUUCUAUGAUGUCGCUGGAAUUCCUGUUUCUCACAGGAAUCAACUGCCGCAUCUGCUGUCAAACUGUCGCCCGAGGUCCGUGCCAAGUUCUUCCACCUAAGAAUGGUACAAUGUCUUAUAUCAAUUGAGGGUGUUGAUCUUAACGCCAUUAAUGAUUCUGGAGAAAUAGCUCUUGAUAUUGCAGAUAAUUUUGGAUGCCGGAGCUUGUUUCUAUUUUGAAAGAAGCUGGAGUUACCCAUUCCAAGGAUCAUGGAAGCCCCCUGAACUGCAAAACAACUCAAGCAAAUUGUCAGCGACAUAAAACAUGAUGUGCAGUCCCAGCUCACAUUAGUGGUCUUAAUAGUGCCAUCAACCAUGCAACAGUUGUUGCUGUCCUUAUUGCUACUGUUGCUUUUGCUUCCAUCUUCACUGUAUAUGUUGAAGAUAAAACAGAUGGAUUUUCGCUUGGUGAAGCACACAUAGACGUCUGUGGUUGUGAUUGAACAGAAAGCAAAGAAGUGACUCGUGUUUUGGAUAAACAAGCUCAUGUGAGCAGCUUGCCUCUUCAUCUCAAUCACCUUUAUCUCUCUUAGUUAUGUAGUGGUUGGAUCAAAUGGAAGAUGGCUUGCUGUCUAUGCAACUGUGGUUGGUUGCGUAAUAAUGCUCUCUGCAAUUGGUUCCAUUUGCUGUGUUGUUCAACAUAGGCUAGAAGAAUUAAGGUUGAGGAGCAUUCGAAGAACUGAGACUCAUUCACGUUCUUUCCCAUUGUCUAUGGCAUCAGAUACUGAGCUUGUCAGUGAGAACUACAAGAGGAUGUAUGCAGUUUAGGUAGAAUAAGCAAUUCUCAACAAUGAAGUUCAACAACACUGACAUGGCAUUAGAUCCAGAAUGGUGAAAGUAUGGAAGGGAUCUCUACUGUUCAAAGAUUGGCAAUAAUAUCAGAGUGAUAUCAGUCACUGAACAAUUCUCUUUGCUGUAAUGUUGAAUUGUUGCAAACUGGUGCAGCAUCUUUUCCAAAAAAAAAAAAAACUGUUUAGACGCAAGCUUUCUGUAUGGAUUAAAUAACUCGUAUAUAGAUUGCAACUUGGUGACAAGAUUACCGGAUGGCUGCUAUUUAUUUUUAUGCCUACAUACCUGAACAAGUUGUUAGUUCAUCAAACAAAAUGGUUUCAUUGUAUAACUUACGAUGGUGCUUUUUAGUUAUCAUCAAGUUCUAUCUUUUCCA